Rosa chinensis is the source of this 2115-nucleotide long non-coding RNA. RefSeq lists it as uncharacterized. Lineage: Eukaryota; Viridiplantae; Streptophyta; Magnoliopsida; Rosales; Rosaceae. The transcript has 3 exons. The record is from RefSeq and is a predicted model, not a curated record.
CCCACUUUUUCUUCCCACACAUAUUCGCACUGCAAUUUUGCUCGCCCGCCUCUAUUUUUCAGUUGACCUCUCUCUCUCGUUGUGCAUCUCUUCCCUCUUUUUGAAGUUUGCUAUGAAAACCCACGAGAUUGAGCUGAGAAAAGAAAACAAAGAAACAAAAAAAACUCUCCCAAAACCUGUCUCUCUCGUCCUCCCUCUCAAUCCAUCAUAGCAAACAUCGAAAUUCCCCUACCCGUGUAAUCGUCGGAUCUUCCACCUUCGAAUUUCCGAUGGCGUUUCCCUACACAAACCUCACGCUCUCUCUCUCUCUACCCUCUCCCGCGCCCUCUCCGACUUCUCUCCUGUCGACAACGUCUUCGACUACGGCUCCAACGUGGACUCCACCUUCGACGAUGGCGGCCACUUCAUUCUGGACUCGUCCAUUUCAGAUCGCUCAAUUUCACUCUGAAACCAAAACCCCAAUCCCGAUUCCCCCCAAAUUUACCAAACCGCUAGGGUUUUCCAGCGGUCAUCCAGUAUGAGUUCCAGAUCCGCGAGCCGGGGACCCACAUGGUACGACUCCAUUUCCAGGGCUUCAAUUCUUGUAAUUUUGAUUGAAAUAAUGCUCAGUUUCAUGUAUAUAUCAAUGGGUUUGUGGUUUUGUAAGUCAGUAACUUUGGAUUUGGGGGUGUUAUUGGGUCUGGAUCGAGGAUCGAAUAAUUCAGGUACCCAAUGUAUCACUGUUUCAUGAUCGAGGAAGAAGUGGAGCUUGUGUGGCCACUAAUUGACAUAAAAAAGACUGGACAAGUCGAUAGGAAAACUCUAACAAAGUGGGUGGUAAGACAUUUAUCUUAUUAUGUCUCUUGACUUCCAGAAGUUGUAGUUCUUAUUUUUCUUAUGGAGGACUUUUGUUUUGUUUCUGUAGCAUGUAAUUUAUACAUUGAUCACAUCUUUCAAUCUAAAAGCAAAUAUAGCAGGGCAGUUAUUCAUGAAGGAAUUCCUUGUUAUGUAUGCACAUGGAGAAAUACUUAAAUUUGUACUUGAUGGAAUUUUGUUUGAUAAACCUAUCACAAUAACUGCAAGAAUAAAAAGUGAAGAAAGAAAUGAAAGAAGGAUUCCAAAACAUCCUGGUUAUUAUCACCACUGUAGUGUGGCUUCUGUUGGUGGAAAUUGCAACUACAAAAGUACUUGUCUUCCUCUCAUCACAGCUCGUAGUGGCAGCUAGUAGCUAGUUAUCAUGGUUCUAUGACUUCUAUAUAUUAUCUUGUGCUUUUUCCAAAGAAAGACAAGUCUAUUGUUUUGUUCUUAUGAACAAUGAAAUACUUUCUCUACAGUAUAAGCAGCUUGUCUAUUUUAUUCUCUUCUUUAGUUUAGUAAGUAUAGAAGAUAUUGGCACAUUGGAAAGAUAUCAAUUUUACGAAACUGCAUGCCCUCCUUAAUUAAUUAGAACAUGAUGCAUAAAGUUCCUUAUUUUAGAAAAGAGAUUGCAUGAUGCAUACGAGAAACUCUAAAAGACAGGUAUCCCACUAGCAUCAAAGCAAGUGAAUUAUAGUCUCAUAUACAAGGCACUAGAGGAGAAUGGAGAUAAGGCUACAUGUGACGAACUUGGGAUCACUUCGAUUGCCUAUUCACCUAUUGCUCAAGGUACAGUGUGAAUUUUUGAUGUUUUGCAUUCCUUUUAGUAAUGCCUUUUCUGACAUGUUGCUGCAAGAAUAUAAGGAGAACCCAGAUUAUGCACGUUGUGUUGCUAUUGUAGCAUCUGCAUCUUUGAGGGAGAUGAUAAAACCUGGUGCCUUGGCUAUUAUUUCACCUAUAGCAGUUGGUAUUGCGUUCUGAAUAUUUGGAUACUAUCCGGAGGCAAAGGAAGUGAUUGUCAUAAGGGUGCAAUUACAGGAGACAUAGUGGGAGACCCAUUCAAAGACACAGCUGGACCGUCACUUCAUGUCCUUAUUAAAAUGCUUGCUACAAAAAUGGUGGUCAUGGCUCCUGUCUUUCUCUGAGUAGUUUAUAACAAUUCCGGGAUGGAAUGACUUUGUUGAAUAUAUGGAUGAAUGUAUCAGAUCUUUACAUAAAUGAAUCUCUUUUGAAUGUGUUCUCAUUUGGAUUCCAUAUAUGCAAAAUGUAGGCCAUUUGAAU